Molecule: ribosomal RNA, 484 nt
Filed under: uncultured bacterium
Lineage: Bacteria
Description: partial 16S ribosomal RNA
Rfam family: Bacterial small subunit ribosomal RNA
Source: RNAcentral
AUUGAACGCUGGCGGCAUGCUUUAUACAUGCAAGUCGAACGGCAGCGCGGGCUUCGGCCUCGUGGCGCGUGGCGAACGGGCGAGUAAUGCACCGGUACGUGCCCAGCAGUGGGGGAUAGCAUGGCGACAGCCGGAUUAAUAUAGCACACGAUAUGAGGGUGAACGCCGGGGUUCGAUAGGGCACGAGCUUUUUGCGCGGCCGUUGUCGGAUUAGCUAGUUGGUAGGGUAAAGGCUUACCAAGGCAACGAUCCGUAGCUGAUCUGAGAGGGCGACCAGCCACACUGGAACUGAGACACGGCCCAGACUCCUACGGGAGGCAGCAGUAGGGAAUUUUGGGCAAUGGGGGCAACCCUGAUCCAGCCAUGCCGCGUGCGUGAAGAAGGCCUUCGGGUUGUAAACCGCUUUUAUUCGGGAAGAAAACCUCUGUACGAAUACCCCGAGGGGAUGACGGUACCGGAAGAGAAAGCAACGGCUAACUACGUG